GCACCCAGCCACGUGUCCUGCCCCUGAAACACUCUGUCUUCCUGCUUUGAGGACAGCUGAAGUCUUGCCACUUCUUCUGGAUGCUCUGACCAUCAGUAAGAGACACGGUCUGACUUUGUUACCCCGGCUGGAGUGCAGUGGUGCAAUCAUGGCUCACUGCAGCCUUAACCUCCUGGGCUCAAGUGAUCCUCUCGCCAAGGCUAGGAUAAGUAGCUAGGACUACAGAUGCGCCCCAUCACGCCCAGCUAAUUUUACAACUUCUGUAGAGAUGGAGUGUUGCUGGGUUGCCCAGGCUGGUCUUGAAUUCCUGGGCUCAAGCGAUCCUCCUGUGUCCGGAAUUGGUGGGUUCUUGGUCUCACUGACUUCAAGAAUGAAGCCGCGGACCCUCGCGAGUCUGUAUCCACCAGCUACUCUUCCAGAUUCAUGAGGCAAGGCCUGCCUGCUCACCUGGCUGGCCCCAAGCACCUCUUCAACCUGUUGCCACCGUCCUGCCUUGCUGCCCUUCUCAGCUCAUCCAGCAGGGUCUCCAAGUCGUGGAAACAGAAGCACAUAUACACACAUGCUCAUAUGUACAUGCCCACAGUCACAUAAGCACACCGAGAAACACCAUCGCAGACAUGUUCUCACAAGCACAUGUGCAUAACACUCACUACCCCUCACGCGUAUACACAUUAAUACACACACUCAUGCACACUCAGUCUUACACACACAGACACACAGCCAUAAUCACUGUUGUUGGUUGAAUUGUGCCCCCCCAUCCCCACCAAAAAGAUAAGUUGGAGUCCUAACCCCCAGUACCUGGGGAUGUGACCGUAGUUGGAAAUAGGGUGUUUGUAGAUGUAAUCAAAUUAAGAUGAGAUCUUACUGGAUUAGAGUGGGCCUUAAAUCCAGUGACUGGUGUCCUUAUAAGGAGAAAAAGAUUUGAAAACAGAGACAUGGAGACACAGAGCAGAAGGCCAUGUGAUGAUGGAGUCAGAGAUUGGAGUGAUGCAGCUAUGAGCCGAGAAAUACCAAGGUGCUGGCAGCCCCCAGAAGCAAGGAGAGAGGCAAGGAACAAUCUCCAUCAGAGCCUCUGGAAGAAACAGACUCUGCCAACACCUUGAUUUCAGACUUUUGGCCUCCUUCACUGUGCGAGAAUACGUUUCUGUUGUUUUAAACUACUGAGUCACCAAGUCUGUGGUACUGUGUUAUGGCAGCCCCGGCAACAAAUCCAAUCACACACACACACACACACACACACACACACACACACACACACACACACACAGCUGGCUCCAGGCUCAGUGAUGAGCUCAGAGGAGUUCCCCUUGGGAGCUGCUCUUUCUCUGUCUUCCUUCCUUAGUGAUUGGUCCAGUGGAUCCACAAAAGCUCAUGGCCCAGAGCAGGAGCCCAGUCAUUUUUAAUUCCUCUUCCCUGGAGUUCUUAACCAUGCGUUGCCCUCAAAAUCUGCUCUCAAGAUUUGGGUUGCCAUAUUUAGGAGCACCAGAAAACAUACAGGAAUGCUGUGUCUGCUUGCAUCAUAUUAAUUAAAAACUGGAAAUAACCUAAAUGUCCCAGAAUAGGUACAUAAACUGUGGCAUAUCCACUUAAUGGAAUACUACUCAGCAAUACAAAAGGAAAACCUAGUGUUACUUGAGCAACAUGGAUGAACUUCACAGACAUAAUAUUGCACAGCACGAGGCAGACACAAAAGUGUGCAUAUGCUAUGAUUCCAUUUACAUGAGAUUCAAGAACAGGCAAAGCAGAUCUAUGGGGAUAGAAGUCAGAAUAGUGGUUACCUCUGGAAGGUGGAAUUGACUGGGAGGGGCUUCAGGGAACCUCCUGGGGUGCUGAAAACAUUCUGUGCUUGCACCGGGUGGUGGUUAUGUGGGCAUUACAUAAAAUUCACCAAGCUGCACCCUUAAUGAUUUGUACAAUUUGAUGCACAAAUCUAACAUCUCAAGAAGAAUAAAUUUUACAAAGUACCUAAGAAGCAAAUGACCAGAA
This 1986-nucleotide long non-coding RNA is filed under the name Homo sapiens (human). RNAcentral's name for it is "HSALNT0106493". The record is from RNAcentral. Lineage: Eukaryota; Metazoa; Chordata; Mammalia; Primates; Hominidae.